RNAcentral lists this non-coding RNA (228 nucleotides) under Dehalococcoidia bacterium. Its description in RNAcentral is "T-box sequence". It matches the Rfam family "T-box leader". Rfam says of the family: Uncharged tRNA acts as the effector for transcription antitermination of genes in the T-box leader family. Lineage: Bacteria; Bacillati; Chloroflexota; Dehalococcoidia. The record is from RNAcentral.
GAAAAGGCGAGGAAGGGGAGUAGUAGAGGCUUCUCCCUGCUCAAGAGAACCGGGGACAAGGUGAGAGCCCGGUAGCAAAGGAGCCUCGAACUCGCCCCAGAGCCGUCAGGCCGAGCUUCUUGCGUAUCUCGGUAGGUCUGGUCGGGGGCGCCCGUUACAGCGCUUAGAGAGCUCCGGUAGGUUGGAGAAGAAGGGUGGCACCGUCCCCGCCCCAGCGGGAUCCCUUUU